UGCCCGAGAGCAGUGUCUUAAGAACAAAUGA
Molecule: non-coding RNA, 31 nt
Filed under: Homo sapiens (human)
Lineage: Eukaryota; Metazoa; Chordata; Mammalia; Primates; Hominidae
Source: RNAcentral